This 285-nucleotide unclassified non-coding RNA is filed under the name air metagenome. RNAcentral describes it as "partial contains small subunit ribosomal RNA, internal transcribed spacer 1, and 5.8S ribosomal RNA". The stretch from base 1 to 46 matches the Rfam family "Eukaryotic small subunit ribosomal RNA", at positions 1786 to 1831 of the family's 1831-position model. The record is from RNAcentral.
AAGUCGUAACAAGGUUUCCGUAGGUGAACCUGCGGAAGGAUCAUUAAUGAAUUGUAAAGGAUAGCUGAUGCUGGUUGGCUAUCCGCCGCAUGUGCUCGCUAUCCAACAACUUAUUAUCCAUACACCUGUGCACAUUCUUUGGGGGGAAGGCCGCAUGUCCGUUUGGUGAUGCACGCCGUCCCCUCAUUUUAUCUAAACCCAGUUUGUAAACCUAUGAACACAAUUGUUGGGUCGGAAGACCCUUUAAAUCUUAUACAACUUUUAACAACGGAUCUCUUGGCUCUC